GCUAAAAACCCAGACUUCGGGAUGGGUGUAUUUAUUAGAUAAAAAACCAACGCCCUUCGGGGCUCCUUGGUGAUUCAUAAUAACUUCACGAAUCGCAUGGCCUUGCGCCGGCGAUGGUUCAUUCAAAUUUCUGCCCUAUCAACUUUCGAUGGUAGGAUAGUGGCCUACCAUGGUGGCGACGGGUAACGGGGAAUUAGGGUUCUAUUCCGGAGAGGGAGCCUGAGAAACGGCUACCACAUCCAAGGAAGGCAGCAGGCGCGCAAAUUACCCAAUCCCAAUACGGGGAGGUAGUGACAAUAAAUACUGAUACAGGGCUCUUUUGGGUCUUGUAAUUGGAAUGAGAACAAUGUAAAUACCUUAUCGAGGAACAAUUGGAGGGCAAGUCUGGUGGACACACGUCCCAGCACUCGUUGCUGACGCCAGGGAGAUGCGGGCCGCCCUCGGGCGGUCCGUCUAGUGGGCCUCUGGGCCCGCGAGGUGUCCGGCACGGGGAAGGCAUGCGCGCAUGCCAACCCCGUGGCAGGUCCCUUCGGGGGCUUGUCGUAACGCACGGAAGGGCACCGGUGGCCUCCCCCUCGGGGGCAGGCCGCUGAAGGGUCGCGCUAAUCCCGCCCGCCAGGGCAGACGGGCCUGGAGCUCCCAGGCCCGCCGCAGGGUAACCAUUGGCCAGCAGCCGCGGUAAUUCCAGCUCCAAUAGCGUAUAUUAAAGUUGUUGCAGUUAAAAAGCUCGUAGUUGAACCUUGGGCCUGGCUGGCCGGUCCGCCUCACCGCGUGCACUGGUCCGGCCGGGCCUUUCCUUCUGGGAAGCCGCAUGCCCUUCACUGGGUGUGUCGGGGAACCAGGACUUUUGACUUUGAAAAAAUUAGAGUGUUCAAAGCAGGCCUAUGCUCGAAUACAU
This 898-nucleotide ribosomal RNA is filed under the name Eurotiomycetes sp. Its description in RNAcentral is "partial small subunit ribosomal RNA". It matches the Rfam family "Eukaryotic small subunit ribosomal RNA", at positions 173 to 804 of the family's 1831-position model. The record is from RNAcentral. Lineage: Eukaryota; Fungi; Ascomycota; Eurotiomycetes.